Molecule: unclassified non-coding RNA, 1019 nt
Filed under: Hevea brasiliensis (rubber tree)
Lineage: Eukaryota; Viridiplantae; Streptophyta; Magnoliopsida; Malpighiales; Euphorbiaceae
Source: RNAcentral
AGAGGAAGGGGAAACGCCCUCUUUCCCCAUCUUGUACCGGAUAAGGAAAUCCUAUAACAGGGCGUUUCCCCUUCCUCUUUCUCUGUCUCAGCGAACCAGUAAGCCAUGUCUCUCUCUUCUUUCUCUACAAUGCCCACCGCCAAGCUCCGCCUACAAACCCUACCCACUUCCACCACAGUCACACCCUUAACUCUGCACUCUCCAUUUCUCCCCUCUUUCAGACUCCCAAAACAUAAACCCCUUUCAAUUCUCCGCAUUUCAACAUCUCCAGCUAUCUCUGCCUCUCUUGAAGCUGGAGUCGGAAUAAUGGCAACCAAACUUGGAAUGAUGAGUUUCUUUGAAGAUUCAGGAACAGUGGUGCCUGUUACUGUUGUAGGGUUUCGCGAAGGAAAUAUUAUUACUCAAAUUAAAACUGAAGCUACUGAUGGAUAUAGUGCUGUACAAGUUGGGUAUCGACGAGUUCGUGAUAGAAAACUAACUAAACCUGAAAUGGGUCAUCUUGAAAAAUCUGGGAUUAUUCCUCUCCGUCAUUUGCAGGAGUUUCGUCUUCAGUCUGUUGAUGGAUUUGAAGUAACGCAGAAACUUGAUUUUAAUGAAUUAUUUAAAGAAGGUGAUUUGGUUGAUGUCGCUGGUACAACCAUUGGAAAAGGAUUUCAAGGUGGUAUCAAGAGGCAUAAUUUCAAGAGGGGUCAAAUGACUCACGGAUCAAAGAGUCAUAGACAACUAGGAUCAAUUGGUGCUGGGACAACCCCAGGGCGUGUAUACAAGGGCAAGAAGAUGCCUGGACGAAUGGGAGGCACCAGGACAAAGAUUAGAAAGCUCAAGAUCGUCAAGAUUGAUGAUGAACUUAAGAUUCUAAUGAUCAAAGGAGCUCUUCCUGGUAAGCCUGGAAAUCUUUUGCGAAUAGCUCCGGCCAAGAUAGUUGGCAAAAACAUCCCCAAGAACUAAUUUUUGUUCCCUCUUCUUUUAUCAACUCUAUGAAGUGAUGAAAUUUUUUCUUUCAAAUUAUGAUAUUGUGU